This 377-nucleotide unclassified non-coding RNA is filed under the name uncultured Halomonadaceae bacterium. RNAcentral's name for it is "contains 16S-23S intergenic spacer region". The record is from RNAcentral. Lineage: Bacteria; Pseudomonadati; Pseudomonadota; Gammaproteobacteria; Oceanospirillales; Halomonadaceae.
UCCGGUUUGUCACCGGCAGUCUCCCUAGAGUUCCCGACCGAAUCGCUGGCAAAUAGGGACAAGGGUUGCGCUCGUUACGGGACUUAACCCAACAUUUCACAACACGAGCUGACGACAGCCAUGCAGCACCUGUCACUCGGUUCCCGAAGGCACUCCGCCGUCUCCGGCAGAUUCCGAGGAUGUCAAGGGUAGGUAAGGUUCUUCGCGUUGCAUCGAAUUAAACCACAUGCUCCACCGCUUGUGCGGGCCCCCGUCAAUUCAUUUGAGUUUUAACCUUGCGGCCGUACUCCCCAGGCGGUCGACUUAUCGCGUUAACUGCGCCACAAAGUCCGCGAGGGACCCAACGGCUAGUCGACAUCGUUUACGGCGUGGACUAC